UCGCAGAUCAGAAUGCUGCGGUGAAUGCGUUCCCGGGUCUUGUACACACCGCCCGUCACACCACGGGAGUUGGAGACGCCCGAAGCCGAUUAUCUAACCUUUUGGAAGAAGUCGUCGAAGGGGGAAUUAAUAACUGGGGUGAAGUCGUAACAAGGUAGCCGUAUCGGAAGGUGCGGCUGGAUCACCUCCUUUCUAAGGA
RNAcentral lists this ribosomal RNA (199 nucleotides) under Clostridioides difficile. Its description in RNAcentral is "partial 16S ribosomal RNA". It matches the Rfam family "Bacterial small subunit ribosomal RNA", at positions 1342 to 1533 of the family's 1533-position model. Lineage: Bacteria; Bacillati; Bacillota; Clostridia; Peptostreptococcales; Peptostreptococcaceae. The record is from RNAcentral.